This 110-nucleotide non-coding RNA is filed under the name chicken gut metagenome. RNAcentral describes it as "Moco (molybdenum cofactor) riboswitch". It matches the Rfam family "Molybdenum/Tungsten riboswitch aptamer (Moco RNA motif)", at positions 12 to 120 of the family's 135-position model. The record is from RNAcentral.
UGUCUUCGAGCCCCCCUUCCUAAUGCGCAAGCGAUGGAAUCGGGGCCGCGUCAAGCGAUUGACCUAGGGUUAUGCUGGAAACGGCGUGGCCUUCCUGUUUGAAAAGGAGA